AACGCUAGCGGCAGGCUUACACAUGCAAGUCGAGGGGUAACGAUUCUGAGCAAUCGGAAGUCGACGACCGGCGCACGGGUGAGUAUCGCGUAUGUAACCUACCUUUGACUGGAGAAUAGCCCGAAGAAAUUCGGAUUAAUACUCCAUAAAACUGUGAGAAGGCAUCUUUUUACAGUUAAAGCUUCGGCGGUCUUAGAUGGGCAUGCGUAACAUUAGCUAGUUGGUGAGGUAAUAGCUCACCAAGGCUACGAUGUUUAGGGGGUCUGAGAGGGUGGUCCCCCACACUGGUACUGAGACACGGACCAGACUCCUACGGGAGGCAGCAGUGAGGAAUAUUGGUCAAUGGGCGAAAGCCUGAACCAGCCAUGCCGCGUGAAGGAUGACGGCCCUAUGGGUUGUAAACUUCUUUUAUACGGGAAGAAACCCCUCUACGUGUAGAGGGCUGACGGUACCGUACGAAUAAGCAUCGGCUAACUCCGUGCCAGCAGCCGCGGUAAUACGGAGGAUGCAAGCGUUAUCUGGAUUUAUUGGGUUUAAGGGUGCGUAGGCGGAAAAUUAAGUCAGUGAUGAAAUCCUGCAGCUUAACUGUAGAAUUGUUAUUGAUACUGAUUUUCUUGAAUACAGUUGAGGUAGGCGGAAUGUGUAAUGUAGCGGUGAAAUGCUUAGAUAUUACACAGAACACCGAUUGCGAAGGCAGCUUACUAAACUGUGAUUGACGCUGAGGCACGAAAGCGUGGGGAGCGAACAGGAUUAGAUACCCUGGUAGUCCACGCUGUAAACGAUGAUCACUCGUUGUUGGCAAUACAUCGUCAGCGACUGAGCGAAAGCAUUAAGUGAUCCACCUGGGGAGUACGAUCGCAAGAUUGAAACUCAAAGGAAUUGACGGGGGCCCGCACAAGCGGAGGAACAUGUGGUUUAAUUCGAUGAUACGCGAGGAACCUUACCUGGGCUUAAAUGCAUAACGACGGACCGGGAAACUGGUCUUUCUUCGGACGGAAUGCAAGGUGCUGCAUGGCUGUCGUCAGCUCGUGCCGUGAGGUGUCGGGUUAAGUCCCAUAACGAGCGCAACCCUCAUCAUUAGUUGCCAGCGGGUAAUGCCGGGGACUCUAAUGAAACUGCCGGUGUAAACCGAGAGGAAGGUGGGGAUGACGUCAAGUCAGCACGGCCCUUAUGUCCAGGGCUACACACGUGUUACAAUGGUCAGUACAAAGGGCAGCUACCAGGCAACUGGAUGCUAAUCUCUAAAACUGGUCUCAGUUCGGAUCGGAGUCUGCAACUCGACUUCGUGAAGUUGGAUUCGCUAGUAAUCGCGCAUCAGCCAUGGCGCGGUGAAUACGUUCCCGGGCCUUGUACACACCGCCCGUCAAGCCAUGGAAGCCGGGGGUACCUGAAGU
This 1394-nucleotide ribosomal RNA is filed under the name uncultured organism. RNAcentral's name for it is "16S ribosomal RNA". It matches the Rfam family "Bacterial small subunit ribosomal RNA". The record is from RNAcentral.